UUGUCCAUGGAAAAAAAAGACGCUUGUUUAAUAGUUUUCUGCUAAAACACUUCUGAAUUGAAUAUUACAAAAUGAAGCAGCACAAGCUGUCUGCAAAAAAACGCCUUACAAAGCCGCUUCUCUUCGGCGCACUGAUUGCAGGACUUGCAACAGCGUUCUAUAACAGGCACUUGUUCUUUGAAGAUGUGGAAGAUCUUCGAGCUCAAGAACGAGCUCGUAAUGAUGCCAAACGCUUAGAGGUGUUAGAAAGGAGGCAGAAACAAAUGGAGAGGAAAAAUGCAGGAAACAGUUGAACUCAGACUCUGAAGCAAGGACAGGACAUUUCUGCUCACCUGGUCUGAAGGCAGGAAAACAGGAUGUCCACAAUCUCACUAUUCAAAAAAAAAACAACAACCCUAAGUUUGUUUUCUUUGCAAAAUUGGAGCUACACAGGAUACAGGAAGUUUACUCAGAAAACUACCCUUGCUGUGGAAGUAAUAAAAAAUGACCUCUGUGUUUUUGUGGGCAAUAAUAAUUCCAGUGAAUUACUUUGUCUGUAUGAGGAGAUGAUUGAACAACACUGUCUAACAAACGACCAAGAAGCUCGAAAAGAAGGACCUAAACGAAUAGCUAUAAUCUGACAGUAUUUGUAUUUUAUCCACAGAAUUGUGUUGGCUACUUAAUGUCAAAUUCCUAAAAAAUUGAUGGCACAAGUUCAUACAAUGCUUUUCUUCUGUCAGAGUAGCACAUAAUGAGUGUCCUUAUCUUUAGUCCAGUACCUACCAAGUGUCACAUUGUCUGCCUUUGUAUGAAAGAAAAUGAAAUACAUUAUAAACACUUUAAAGCCUAUUUUAUUCAAA
This is a long non-coding RNA of Tachysurus vachellii, 839 nucleotides long. RefSeq lists it as uncharacterized. Lineage: Eukaryota; Metazoa; Chordata; Actinopteri; Siluriformes; Bagridae. The transcript is spliced from 2 exons. The record is from RefSeq and is a predicted model, not a curated record.